GACGAACGCUGGCGGCGUGCUUAACACAUGCAAGUCGAACGGAAAGGCCCCUUUGGGGGUACUCGAGUGGCGAACGGGUGAGUAAAACGUGAGUAACCUGCCCUUGACUUCGGGAUAACUUCCGGAAACUGGGGCUCAUACCGGAUAGGAAUCCUUGCUGCAUGGUGGGGGUUGGAAAGCUUCGGCGGUUUUGGAUGGACUCGCGGCUUAUCAGCUUGUUGGUGGGGUAGUGGCUUACCAAGGCUUUGACGGGUAGCCGGCCUGAGAGGGCGACCGGCCACAUUGGGACUGAGAUACGGCCCAGACUCCUACGGGAGGCAGCAGUGGGGAAUAUUGCACAAUGGGCGGAAGCCUGAUGCAGCAACGCCGCGUGCGGGAUGACGGCCUUCGGGUUGUAAACCGCUUUCAGCAGGGGCGAAGCUUGUGGUGACGGUACCUGCAUAAGAAGCACCGGCUAACUACGUG
This 465-nucleotide ribosomal RNA is filed under the name uncultured bacterium. RNAcentral describes it as "partial 16S ribosomal RNA". It matches the Rfam family "Bacterial small subunit ribosomal RNA", at positions 28 to 507 of the family's 1533-position model. The record is from RNAcentral.